Molecule: long non-coding RNA, 447 nt
Organism: Homo sapiens (human)
Lineage: Eukaryota; Metazoa; Chordata; Mammalia; Primates; Hominidae
Exons: 5
Source: RefSeq, a predicted model, not a curated record
CUUUAUUCCUUUCUGAGGGCUCUUGAGUUUGUUUCCUUGCUCAUGCAGAUGUUGGAAGAAUUCAGUUCCAUGCAGUUAAAGGACUGAGGGUCUUGCUCUGUCACCCAGGCUGGAGUGCAGUUGCUCUAUCAUGACUCACUGCAGCCUCAAAUGCUUGGACUCGAGCAAUCCUUCAGGCUAAAAGGUUUAUGAAGACAUCUGUCUUGUCCGGCAUCAUAUCCUGGGACCCACAAAGUGACUGAAAUAUAUCUGGUGGUCAAUAUAUAUUUGCAUCUUUCAAUUUAGACCGGCCACAUUUCAAGUGCUCAAUAGCCGCAUGUAGCUAGCGGCUACAAUAUUGAACAGUGCAGCUCUGGAAAUUUAAAAAGAGGUUCCAGUGGAAAUCAUAAUGGCAGUUCAGAGAAGGGAAAAUGCUCUACGACCUGGAACAGGAAAAGCUAUAUGGAG